CAGCAGCCGCGGUAAGACAGAGGAUGCAAGUGUUAUUCGGAUUGAUUGGGCGUAAAGCGUCUGUAGGCGGUUUAGAAAGUCUUUUGUGAAAUACUUCAGCUCAACUGGAGCUCCGCAAAAGAAACUUCUAGACUUGAGGGAAGUAGAGGUACAGGGAAUUUCCGGUGGAGCGGUGAAAUGCGUAGAUAUCGGAAGGAACACCAAUAUGGCGAAGGCACUGUACUGGGCUUUACCUGACGCUAAGAGACGAAAGCUAAAGGAGUGAUUAGGAUUAGAUACCCUAGUAAUUUUAGCCGUAAACGAUGGAAACUCACUGCCGAGCCGGUAUUCGGAGCGGUGGUCAAGCUAACGCGUGAAGUUUCCCGCCUGGGGAUUACGCAUGCAAAUGUGAAACUCAAAGGAAUUGACGGGGACCCGCACAAGCGGUGGAGUAUGUGGUUUAAUUCGAUGCAACGCGAAAAACCUUACCAAGGUUUGAAAUCAUUCUAAAACUCUUUGAAAGAAGAGCCUCCUUCGGGAUAGAAUGACAGGUGGUGCAUGGCUGUCGUCAGCUCGUGUUGUGAAAUGUCAAGUUAAGUCUUGUAACGAGCGCAACCCAUGUCUUUUGUUGCUGUUUACAGUGCUUAAAAGAGACUGCCGCUCUACAGCGGAGGAAGGUGUGGAUGAUGUCAAGUCAGCAUGCCCCUUAUAUCUUGGGCUACACACGUACUACAAUGGUAGGGACAAUGAGUCGCAAACCUGCGAAGGCUAGCCAAUCUCAAAAACCCUAUCUCAGUUCGGAUUGUAC
Molecule: ribosomal RNA, 787 nt
Filed under: uncultured phototrophic eukaryote
Lineage: Eukaryota
Description: bacterial SSU rRNA
Rfam family: Bacterial small subunit ribosomal RNA
Source: RNAcentral